Molecule: ribosomal RNA, 497 nt
Filed under: uncultured bacterium
Lineage: Bacteria
Description: partial 16S ribosomal RNA
Rfam family: Bacterial small subunit ribosomal RNA
Source: RNAcentral
GAUGAACGCUGGCGGCGUGCCUAAUACAUGCAAGUCGAGCGAACAGACGAGGAGCUUGCUCCUUCGACGUUAGCGGCGGACGGGUGAGUAACACGUAGGUAACCUACCUAUAAGACUGGGAUAACUUCGGGAAACCGGAGCUAAUACCGGAUAAUAUUUCGAACCGCAUGGUUCGAUAGUGAAAGAUGGCUUUGCUAUCACUUAUAGAUGGACCUGCGCGGUAUUAGCUAGUUGGUAAGGUAACGGCUUACCAAGGCAACGAUACGUAGCCGACCUGAGAGGGGGAUCGGCCACACGGGAAGUGGGACACGGUCCAGGCUCCUACGGGAGGCAGCAGUAGGGAAUCUUCCGCAAUGGGCGAAAGCCUGACGGAGCAACGCCGCGUGAGUGAUGAAGGUCUUCGGAUCGUAAAACUCUGUUAUUAGGGAAGAACAAACGUGUAAGUAACUGUGCACGUCUUGACGGUACCUAAUCAGAAAGCCACGGCUAACUACGUG